This 468-nucleotide ribosomal RNA is filed under the name uncultured bacterium. RNAcentral's name for it is "partial 16S ribosomal RNA". It matches the Rfam family "Bacterial small subunit ribosomal RNA", at positions 28 to 507 of the family's 1533-position model. The record is from RNAcentral.
GACGAACGCUGGCGGCGUGCUUAACACAUGCAAGUCGAACGGAAAGGCCCUGCUUUUGUGGGGUGCUCGAGUGGCGAACGGGUGAGUAACACGUGAGUAACCUGCCCUUGACUUUGGGAUAACUUCAGGAAACUGGGGCUAAUACCGGAUAGGAGCUCCUGCUGCAUGGUGGGGGUUGGAAAGUUUCGGCGGUUGGGGAUGGACUCGCGGCUUAUCAGCUUGUUGGGGGGGUAGUGGCUUACCAAGGCUUUGACGGGUAGCCGGCCUGAGAGGGUGACCGGCCACAUGGGGACUGAGAGACGGCCCAGACUGCUACGGGAGGCAGCAGUGGGGAAUAUUGCACAAUGGGCGGAAGCCUGAUGCAGCAACGCCGCGUGCGGGAUGACGGCCUUCGGGUUGUAAACCGCUUUCGCCUGUGACGAAGCGUGAGUGACGGUAAUGGGUAAAGAAGCACCGGCUAACUACGUG